CCCAUCCCCGACAUAUUUAUUACGGAAAUACUAUAAGCAUAGUCUGUCAGGGGCUUAUUCGCGUAUAAUUUA
Molecule: transfer RNA, 72 nt
Filed under: Candidatus Parvarchaeum acidophilus ARMAN-5
Lineage: Archaea; Nanobdellati; Candidatus Parvarchaeota
Description: tRNA-Met
Source: RNAcentral